GCGUUUGUGGUGUAGUGGUCAGCACGCUCGACGAGUAACCGAGAGGUCCCUGGUUCGAUUCCCGGCGAAAGCG
Stegodyphus mimosarum is the source of this 73-nucleotide non-coding RNA. The record is from Rfam. Lineage: Eukaryota; Metazoa; Arthropoda; Arachnida; Araneae; Eresidae.